UAUACGACCGCAAAAAUUGAAAAUUUUUUGUUCGUAUAUUUGUAUGACGUUGGCGUCGUCGUCGUCGUCGUUGUCGUCGUCGUCGUCGUCGUCCGGCGUCGUCCGGCGUCGUCCGAAGACACAUUGGUUUUCGCACUCUAACUUUAGUUUAAGUAAAUGGAUCUCCAUGAAAUUUUACCAUAAGGUUCAAUACCAUGAAAGGAAGGUUGGGAUUGAUUUUGGGGGUUAUGGUACCAACAGUUAAGGAAUUAGGGGCCAAAAAGGGGCCAACAAUAAGCAUUUUUGUAACUUCCAGACAAUAACUUGUGUGUAAGUGUAUGGAUCUCUCUGACAUUGUACCACAAGGUUCCAUAUCUCAAAGGAAAGGCUGGGAUUGAGUUUGGGGGUAAUUGCCCCAAAUGUUUAGAAAUUAGGGGCAAAAAAGGGGCCAAAAACAAGCAUUUUUCUAGUUUCCAGACAAUAACUUGUGUUAAAGUUUAUGACACUCUCUGAAAUUGUACAUUUUUCCUGAAAAGAAAAUAAUCUUCAAAAUUUCAAU
Mytilus californianus (California mussel) is the source of this 538-nucleotide long non-coding RNA. RefSeq lists it as uncharacterized. NCBI's taxonomy places the organism in Eukaryota, Metazoa, Mollusca, Bivalvia, Mytilida, Mytilidae. The transcript has 2 exons. The record is from RefSeq and is a predicted model, not a curated record.